GGCUCGGUAGCUUAGUUGGUAAAGCGGUCGUCUAGCAUACAAGAGUCCUGGGUUCAAAUCCCAACCGAGCAC
Non-coding RNA from Aedes aegypti (yellow fever mosquito), 72 nucleotides. Lineage: Eukaryota; Metazoa; Arthropoda; Insecta; Diptera; Culicidae. The record is from Rfam.